Molecule: ribosomal RNA, 474 nt
Filed under: uncultured soil bacterium
Lineage: Bacteria
Description: bacterial SSU rRNA
Rfam family: Bacterial small subunit ribosomal RNA
Source: RNAcentral
AGGACGAACGCUGGCGGCGUGCUUAACACAUGCAAGUCGAGCGGUAAGGCCUUUCGGGGUACACGAGCGGCGAACGGGUGAGUAACACGUGGGUGAUCUGCCCUGCACUUCGGGAUAAGCCUGGGAAACUGGGUCUAAUACCGGAUAUGACCUCCUAUCGCAUGGUGGGUGGUGGAAAGAUUUAUCGGUGCAGGAUGGGCCCGCGGCCUAUCAGCUUGUUGGUGGGGUAAUGGCCUACCAAGGCGACGACGGGUAGCCGACCUGAGAGGGUGACCGGCCACACUGGGACUGAGACACGGCCCAGACUCCUACGGGAGGCAGCAGUGGGGAAUAUUGCACAAUGGGCGAAAGCCUGAUGCAGCGACGCCGCGUGAGGAUGACGGCCUUCGGGUUGUAAACCGUCUUUCAGCAGGACGAAGCGCAAGUGACGGUACCUGCAGAAGAAGCACCGGCUAACACGUAGCCAGCAGCCGC